This 464-nucleotide ribosomal RNA is filed under the name uncultured bacterium. Its description in RNAcentral is "partial 16S ribosomal RNA". It matches the Rfam family "Bacterial small subunit ribosomal RNA", at positions 29 to 507 of the family's 1533-position model. The record is from RNAcentral.
ACGAACGCUGGCGGCGUGCUUAACACAUGCAAGUCGAACGGAAAGGCCCUGCUUGCAGGGUACUCGAGUGGCGAACGGGUGAGUAACACGUGGGUGAUCUGCCCUGUACUUCGGGAUAAGCCUGGGAAACUGGGUCUAAUACCGGAUAGGAGCCAUUUUUAGUGUGAUGGUUGGAAAGUUUUUUCGGUGUAGGAUGAGCUCGCGGCCUAUCAGCUUGUUGGUGGGGUAAUGGCCUACCAAGGCGGCGACGGGUAGCCGGCCUGAGAGGGUGGACGGCCACAUUGGGACUGAGAUACGGCCCAGACUCCUACGGGAGGCAGCAGUGGGGAAUAUUGCACAAUGGGCGCAAGCCUGAUGCAGCGACGCCGCGUGGGGGAUGACGGCCUUCGGGUUGUAAACUCCUUUCGCUAGGGACGAAGCUUUUUGUGACGGUACCUAGAUAAGAAGCACCGGCUAACUACGUG